This 253-nucleotide ribosomal RNA is filed under the name uncultured bacterium. Its description in RNAcentral is "partial 16S ribosomal RNA". It matches the Rfam family "Bacterial small subunit ribosomal RNA", at positions 524 to 776 of the family's 1533-position model. The record is from RNAcentral.
UACAGGGGGUGCAAACGUUGCUCGGAUUUAUUGGGCGUAAAGGGCUCGUAGGCGGUCUGUUGCGUCGGUAGUGAAAACUCAGGGCUUAACCCUGAGCCUGCUUCCGAUACGGGCAGACUAGAGGUAUGCAGGGGAGAACGGAAUUCCUGGUGUAGCGGUGAAAUGCGCAGAUAUCAGGAGGAACACCGGUGGCGAAGGCGGUUCUCUGGGCAUUACCUGACGCUGAGGAGCGAAAGUGUGGGGAGCGAACAGG